Molecule: transfer RNA, 69 nt
Filed under: Rousettus amplexicaudatus (Geoffroy's rousette)
Lineage: Eukaryota; Metazoa; Chordata; Mammalia; Chiroptera; Pteropodidae
Description: tRNA-Trp
Source: RNAcentral
AGGAACUUAGGUUAAUAAAAGACCAAGAGCCUUCAAAGCUCUAAGUAAAUGUAGUACAUUUAGUUUCUG